GUCCUCGUAGUUCAACGGAUAGAACAGUCCCGUCCUAAGGGAUAGAUGUAGGUUCAAUUCCUGCCGGGGGCACCA
Molecule: transfer RNA, 75 nt
Filed under: Candidatus Nomurabacteria bacterium RIFCSPHIGHO2_01_FULL_40_24b
Lineage: Bacteria; Candidatus Nomuraibacteriota
Also listed under: 1 other name
Description: tRNA-Arg
Rfam family: tRNA
About the family: Transfer RNA (tRNA) molecules are approximately 80 nucleotides in length.
Source: RNAcentral